This 380-nucleotide long non-coding RNA is filed under the name Phascolarctos cinereus (koala). RNAcentral describes it as "lncRNA (ENSPCIG00000002925.2)". Lineage: Eukaryota; Metazoa; Chordata; Mammalia; Diprotodontia; Phascolarctidae. The record is from RNAcentral.
AUUAUUAAAUUUAAAAUUUCUUAUUUACCAUUUCUUAUCCUUUUGUCCACAUAGGUUGAAUUUGUCCUUGGAAAAUAAAAAAUGCUUACCAGGGAAACAAGGGUCCAUUAAAAAAGAAAACAUGAAACCUCCUGUUGAAAAUCACCUGGACCUUUAUGGAUAAUGAUAAUGAAAGAGAUUAACUGAAAGGAGCCCAGGAUGAGAUUUCAGAUGUGGCGUGUUGCUUAUGCUCAUGAAGAUGGUCUUGAUAAUGGAGAAACAUAAUAUGAUUUGAAUGACACAGCAAAGUGGAUACCAUACCAAAGAGUGUCAUAGAUGAACAUUGCUGGAUUUCAUAUUGAGGUGAUGGAAGUUACUCCAAGGUCCAGGUAGACUCUUUU